This 271-nucleotide unclassified non-coding RNA is filed under the name Hysterothylacium kajikiae. RNAcentral's name for it is "sequence contains ITS2". Lineage: Eukaryota; Metazoa; Nematoda; Chromadorea; Rhabditida; Raphidascarididae. The record is from RNAcentral.
UGAUCGAAAGUUAUCCGUGUAGAGUUGCUUCGUGCUCGUUAGUGUGCGGAGUGGUGCUCAUGCGGUGUAAUCGGCGAGCUAUGGUUGUAAUGACCAUACCUUGCUCAGGCUAAGCCAUAUUUCUCGCAGUCAUUUGCUCCAUGCGAGACGAUGAUGGCCGUCAGUGUUGAUCUCAGAUGCGGCUCCGAGCAUGUGUUGCUUGUUGGUGAUAUGAAGGUUGGGGCCGGCAUCGAAAGCUAGUGAGAUUGAUGCUAGGUGGUUGUCACUGUGU